Long non-coding RNA from Rhodamnia argentea, 436 nucleotides. RefSeq lists it as uncharacterized. The record is from RefSeq and is a predicted model, not a curated record. The transcript has 3 exons. Lineage: Eukaryota; Viridiplantae; Streptophyta; Magnoliopsida; Myrtales; Myrtaceae.
AUUGCUGAACAGUAUGACAUCUCGAGGAUCUUCAAAUUGGUCGGUUGAUUUUCCAUCUAAGAUAUGUCCAUGUCCUCAAGGGAAACUAUGCACGGUUAAAAAAGUACAAAAGAAUCCGAUUAAUCGAGGAAGAUCAUAUUAUGCCUCGACUUGUAAUACAGAUAAUUGUCGGGGGUUUGUGCAAUGGGUUGAAGAUUAUAUUGAGGAAUACAGGAUGUAUUCACCUAAAAAUGUGGACGCAGUCAUUUCUCGAGUGGCAUCAAGCCAAAAUGAAGAAUGGACAAUCAUGAAAGGAGAAUUGAAGGAAGUUAGAGGAAAAAUAGGCUUUAUUAUGCCACUACUAAUAAUAUAUGGAGUCGUCAUAUCUUUCCUUCUUGGAAUUGUGAUUUCUAUGUUACUAUAUAGGUAAUUAUAGCGAUCAAUCUUGAUGGUUAUG